GGGCUCAUAACCCGGAGGUCGCAAGUUCGAGUCUUGCCCCCGCAACCA
RNAcentral lists this transfer RNA (48 nucleotides) under Oscillospiraceae bacterium. RNAcentral's name for it is "tRNA-Ser". It matches the Rfam family "tRNA", at positions 28 to 71 of the family's 71-position model. From Rfam's summary of the family: Transfer RNA (tRNA) molecules are approximately 80 nucleotides in length. Their secondary structure includes four short double-helical elements and three loops (D, anti-codon, and T loops). Further hydrogen bonds mediate the characteristic L-shaped molecular structure. tRNAs have two regions of fundamental functional importance: the anti-codon, which is responsible for specific mRNA codon recognition, and the 3' end, to which the tRNAs corresponding amino acid is attached (by aminoacyl-tRNA synthetases). tRNAs cope with the degeneracy of the genetic code in two manners: having more than one tRNA (with a specific anti-codon) for a particular amino acid; and 'wobble' base-pairing, i.e. permitting non-standard base-pairing at the 3rd anti-codon position. Lineage: Bacteria; Bacillati; Bacillota; Clostridia; Eubacteriales; Oscillospiraceae. The record is from RNAcentral.